GUUAAGUGCGGGCCGGCAGCCGCGGGAAUACGGAGGGUGCAAGCGUUAAUCGGAAUUACUGGGCGUAAAGCGUGCGUAGGCGGUUCUUUAAGUCUGCUGUGAAAUCCCCGGGCUCAACCUGGGAAUGGCAGUGGAUACUGGAGAGCUAGAGUGUGAUAGAGGAUGGUGGAAUUCCCGGUGUAGCGGUGAAAUGCGUAGAGAUCGGGAGGAACAUCAGUGGCGAAGGCGGCCAUCUGGAUCAACACUGACGCUGAGGCACGAAAGCGUGGGGAGCAAACAGGAUUAGAUACCCCGGUAGUC
Molecule: ribosomal RNA, 300 nt
Filed under: uncultured Methanopyrus sp.
Lineage: Archaea; Methanobacteriati; Methanobacteriota; Methanopyri; Methanopyrales; Methanopyraceae
Description: bacterial SSU rRNA
Rfam family: Bacterial small subunit ribosomal RNA
Source: RNAcentral